Molecule: long non-coding RNA, 588 nt
Organism: Nomascus leucogenys (northern white-cheeked gibbon)
Lineage: Eukaryota; Metazoa; Chordata; Mammalia; Primates; Hylobatidae
Exons: 2
Source: RefSeq, a predicted model, not a curated record
AGAGAUGCAGGAGCUGACUGUGGGAGGUUAGACCAGCCAGGCAGAGAGAUGCAGGAGCUGACCGUGGGAGGUUAGACUAGCCUACAUGGAAGUGGUGGAGAUUGAGAGGACAGUCAGGCCCCUGACAGGAUCUGCUGCAGGUCUGCCACUGGUAUUUUCACAGAAGUUUCCAGAGGCUCCAAAGCUGUAACAGUAAAGCUGGCGAGUGUACAAGUGCCUGGACCAGACAUGGCUCCUCACCUUUCGUGAAUAGACUUUAUGAAUGAACACUGAAAUUUUGUUUAUUUUUAAAGAGUGCGGAGGAUGGCCUUGAAACGGUAAAUUUUGCUGGGGCUCUCGGAAAUUAAAUGGCCCCUGUGCUCUGUGGAGCUAAGCUCAGGAGUCACAGGCCUGGGGACCUGGAGGGGCCCAAGAUAUGAUUCAGCACUUAGGUGUUGUGAGGGUAGUAGGAUGCCAAGUUCCUGAGCUGGUACAUUGUGAAUGAUUGUCACUUUUUCAUUUCACUUCAUUUAGGGGAUAACUGCUUGGUAAGUUUAGUGUAAUGCAAAUACCUGAUGUAGGUGGGUCACCAACUUUUUUUUUUUUUUU